UAUAGGAACUGCGAGUAAGGUGCCAGAGAUGGCUGAAAAGGGAAUCCGGUGAAACUCCGGAGCUGUCCCCGCAACUGUAAGUGUGACGAAAUGAGGAAACCACUGUACUUUUUUAGUACGGGAAGGUCUCAAAGUAGGUAGAACACAAGUCAGGAGACCUGCCUUUAUUCUUGCAAAAAGU
Molecule: non-coding RNA, 181 nt
Filed under: Bacillus sp. CECT 9360
Lineage: Bacteria; Bacillati; Bacillota; Bacilli; Caryophanales; Bacillaceae
Source: RNAcentral